RNAcentral lists this ribosomal RNA (433 nucleotides) under uncultured bacterium. RNAcentral's name for it is "partial 16S ribosomal RNA". It matches the Rfam family "Bacterial small subunit ribosomal RNA", at positions 29 to 507 of the family's 1533-position model. The record is from RNAcentral.
AGCGAACGCUGGCGGCAGGCCUAACACAUGCAAGUCGAACGAACUCUUCGGAGUUAGUGGCGGACGGGUGAGUAACACGUGGGAACGUGCCUUUAGGUUCGGAAUAACUCAGGGAAACUUGUGCUAAUACCGAAUGUGCCCUUCGGGGGAAAGAUUUAUCGCCUUUAGAGCGGCCCGCGUCUGAUUAGCUAGUUGGUGAGGUAAAGGCUCACCAAGGCGACGAUCAGUAGCUGGUCUGAGAGGAUGAUCAGCCACAUUGGGACUGAGACACGGCCCAAACUCCGACGGGAGGCAGCAGUGGGGAAUCUUGCGCAAUGGGCGAAAGCCUGACACAGCCAUGCCGCGUGAAUGAUGAAGGUCUUAGGAUUGUAAAAUUCUUUCACCGGGGACGAUAAUGACGGUACCCGGAGAAGAAGCCCCGGCUAACUUCGUG